UACAGAGGUCUCGAGCGUUAAUCGGAAUCACUGGGCUUAAAGGGUGCGUAGGCGGCCCCGAAAGCGUCGUGUGAAAGCCCCUGGCUCAACCAGGGAACAGCACGGCGAACUACGGGGCUUGAGAAAACUAGGGGCCGACAGAACAGUAGGUGGAGCGGUGAAAUGCGUAGAUAUCUACUGGAAUGCCGAUGGUGAAGACGGUCGGCUGGGGUUUUUCUGACGCUGAGGCACGAAAGCGUGGGGAGCAAACAGG
This 253-nucleotide ribosomal RNA is filed under the name uncultured bacterium. Its description in RNAcentral is "partial 16S ribosomal RNA". It matches the Rfam family "Bacterial small subunit ribosomal RNA", at positions 524 to 776 of the family's 1533-position model. The record is from RNAcentral.